Pelobates cultripes (western spadefoot toad) is the source of this 240-nucleotide non-coding RNA. NCBI's taxonomy places the organism in Eukaryota, Metazoa, Chordata, Amphibia, Anura, Pelobatidae. The record is from the annotation of a GenBank genome assembly.
UGCCCCAGCUGCAUUGGCGACCUCUUCCUCCUCCUCUGCCUUCGCCUUGUGCUUCCACUGAGCACCUGGUGUCAGUUGGGAAUGCCCUCAGCAGCGCGUCUACCAGCGUGCGCUUGUAGUCGCGCAUCUUCCGAUCACACUCCAGUGAGGGAAUUAAGGACGGCACAUUGUCCUUGUAACAGGGAUCCAGCAGGGUGGCCACCCAGUAAUCAGCACAAGUUAGAAUAUGGGCAACUCGGC